CUGUAUCACUACUUCCUUACUCGAUUUUCGUUGUGGCGAAGCUAAAGGGAAAGACAAAAAGGCCUGUCUACAAAAUCAAAUAAAAUCAAAAUUCACAAGAAUAUUAGAGGCUGAGAGAGAACCUGAUUUUGUUGUUUUACCUUGACAUAGAAAACGCAAUGUCAAACAGCAAUCUCCAAAUACAAAUAGAGGAACCCCCUCCCGCUCAUACGCCUCUACUAACUUCUAAUUCAAAUCAAAACCCUCAACCUCUACCACCUCAAAAUCAAUGUAUUAAUAAAAAUAGCAACAGUAAUAAUGAUGGUAAUGAGGACAGUGAGUUCGAUCGAACGCUGGCGAGUUUGGAAGCGCUUCUCACUUUGCUUGGCUUCAACCAGCGAACCGUUUUCAGCUUUGCCGUCUCAUGGACCGUCUUCGCGGUGGUUGGCACCACGAUGCCGCUGGUGGCGCUGGCUCUCUCCGAGUGCUCUGACGGCCGCAGCCACUGCCAGAAAUACCAGAUUCCGGCAUUCGAGAUGGCGAUCGUGGCGUUCCAGGCGUGCCUUGCUUCCGUCUCACUGCUGUGCCUCUCGCACAACCUGAGGAAGUACGGCGUCAGGAGGUUCCUCUUCGUUGACCGCCACAGCGGACAGUUGCAUUGCUUUCACCGCGAUUACGUCAACCAGAUUCAGGGAUCUUUGCGUUUGCUCAUUAUAUGGAUGUUGCCGUGCUUCUUUGUGAAGACAGCGCGAGAAAUCAUUCGCAUUUCAAAUGUGCAGCAUGAGUCCUGGAUACUCUCAGUUGCUAUUUUCUUUGCUUUGAUUAUAUCUUGGACUUAUGUGAGUGCAGUCUCUUUGUCGGCCACUAUUAUGUUUCACUUGGUCUGCAAUUUGCAAGUUAUCCACUUUGAUGAUUAUGGGAAACUCUUGCAAAGGGAGAGUGACGUUCUAGUUUUCAUGGAGGAGCACAUUCGGUUGCGCUAUCAUCUCUCCAAGAUAAGCCAUAGGUUCAGAAUAUAUCUUCUUCUACAGUUCUUGGUUGUCACAGCAAGCCAAUUUGUCACUCUAUUGCAGGUUACGGGAUAUGGUGGCAUGCUCACUUUCUUAAAUGGUGGAGAUUUUGCUGUAUCUACACUUGUUCAAGUUGUUGGCAUCAUUAUUUGUCUGCAUGCGGCAACAAGAAUAUCUCACAGAGCUCAGGGUGUUGUUUCACUAGCAAGCAGGUGGCAUGCACUGUUGACAUGCUCUUCUGAUGCUUCUCAACUAAGAAGCUCUGCCAGUACAGGGAGCUUGGAGGCUGUAAACCAUUUAAACUCAAUACAAUUAGACUAUUCUGAGAGUGAUUUGGAGUCAAUGGAUUAUGCUGGAAUGCCUACGAAUACCCAGUUGGCUUCCUAUAUGUCCUCACACCACAAGAGGCAAGCCUUCGUGAUGUACUUGCAAACUAAUCCUGGAGGAAUCACUAUAUUUGGAUGGACAGUUGAUCGGUCCCUUGUCAACACAAUUUUUUUCCUUGAAUUAAGUCUAGUUACCUUUGUUCUCAGCAAGACAAUAAUUUAAGGAGGAAAAGAAGAUUGCAAGCAGACACCAAGAACAAGAAGAAACCUUCUAAGUUUAGUUCUUCUGGCUUAGCGUUAUCAUUUUGCUGGAAAAUGGCCACAAAUAGCCAUAACUUUUUCUGGCGACUGAUGUUAAUAACUUUGCUCAAGCCAUGCCAGCACGUAACACGGACAUGGCAGCGAACCAUGAAUGAAGGUAGAAAGGUAGGGACCAAGUUAUAUCUGUCAAUCUAUGGAACUGAGCUCUCUGACGUUUCUGUUCAAGGUGCUUUGCUUCUACCCAACUUUGAAGAUUGAUGGGGGGUUUCAUCUAAUGACUUGAGCUCCAAUUCUCCAGAGCAACAUUAUUAAUAUUGUCCUAAUACGUAAUCAAAGUUGCAUAUCUAUCAUAAAACUAGAAUAAUUUGGGAAACUGAUCAUGCCUACUUUUGUGUUGAAGAUUUCAGUCUCAGAAGAACAGGCAUGUUUAAGAGCGUUCGUGCAGUUGAGUUCGAAAGAAGUAGAAUGCAUCUAAUUAAGGCUUAGUUUUUUUUUUUUUGGGGGGUCAAAUGGAUUAGACAAUCCUCAAUCCUAGGCAUUAUCCACUCACCCACACCAUACUCACUCACAAUAUUAAGGGUUCUAUCACUACUUGGCAUCAGCCAAGUUUUGAACCCAUGUGCACAGUGCACUCAUUGCAAGGCACAGGAGAUAACUACUAGACGAAGGCUUAGUUUGAAUUAUGUGAAUAGGAUUCCCCACCCAACCUAGUGGAAACUUUCCUGUUCGCUGAAAUGAGAAAGUUGAACAAAGACCUGAGAAGUUAGAUGAUGUACAUAUCUCAGUUUUUUUCUCGAAGAAUUUCCACCCUUUUCUUCACUUUUUUUUUUUUCGCAUAUUGAAGUGCACGUGCCAUGUGUUUAUUAAGUUAUUUACUAAGAACAGAAAGGUUGCUUUGUUCCGUGAUCCGCACUUCAAGAGCUCAGUGUGCUAAUAUUUAAAUCUCAAUAAACGGUGUU
Arachis duranensis is the source of this 2535-nucleotide RNA transcript. RefSeq lists it as uncharacterized. NCBI's taxonomy places the organism in Eukaryota, Viridiplantae, Streptophyta, Magnoliopsida, Fabales, Fabaceae. The record is from RefSeq and is a predicted model, not a curated record. The transcript has 5 exons.